This 375-nucleotide ribosomal RNA is filed under the name uncultured bacterium. Its description in RNAcentral is "bacterial SSU rRNA". It matches the Rfam family "Bacterial small subunit ribosomal RNA", at positions 29 to 432 of the family's 1533-position model. The record is from RNAcentral.
AACGAACGCUGGCGGCAUGCCUAACACAUGCAAGUCGAACGAGACCUUCGGGUCUAGUGGCGCACGGGUGCGUAACGCGUGGGAAUCUGCCCCUUGGUUCGGAAUAACAGCGAGAAAUUGCUGCUAAUACCGGAUAAUGACGUAAGUCCAAAGAUUUAUCGCCAAGGGAUGAGCCCGCGUAGGAUUAGCUAGUUGGUGUGGUAAAAGGCGCACCAAAGGCGACGAUCCUUAGCUGGUCUGAGAGGAUGAUCAGCCACACUGGGACUGAGACACGGCCCAGACUCCUACGGGAGGCAGCAGUGGGGAAUUUUGGACAAUGGCGCAAGCCUGAUCCAGCAAUGCCGCGUGCAGGAUGAAGGCCUCGGUUGUAACUAG